GAUGAAGAAACGUAGCGAAAUGCGAUACUUGGUGUGAAUUGCAGAAUCCCGUGAACCAUCGAGUCUUUGAACGCAAGUUGCGCCCGAAGCCACUAGGCCGAGGGCACGCCUGCCUGGGCGUCACACGCCGUUGCCCCCCCAUCUACUCCUUCGGGAUUGCGGGGGGGCGGAUGAUGGCCUCCCGUGCGCCUAGCCGCGCGGUUGGCAUAAAUACCAAGUCCUCGGCGACGCACGCCACGACAAUCGGUGGUUGCGAAACCUCGGUUGCCCGUCGUGUGCGUUCGUCGCGCAUCGAGGGCUCGAAAAAAUGCUCGGCUCCGGCUGGGCUUUCAACGCGACCCCAGGUCAGGCGGGGUUACCCGCUGAAUUUAAGCAUAUCAAUAAGCGGAGGA
Molecule: unclassified non-coding RNA, 392 nt
Filed under: soil metagenome
Description: partial contains 5.8S ribosomal RNA, internal transcribed spacer 2, and large subunit ribosomal RNA
Rfam family: 5.8S ribosomal RNA (bases 1-123)
Source: RNAcentral